This 327-nucleotide ribosomal RNA is filed under the name uncultured bacterium. RNAcentral's name for it is "bacterial SSU rRNA". It matches the Rfam family "Bacterial small subunit ribosomal RNA", at positions 28 to 334 of the family's 1533-position model. The record is from RNAcentral.
GACGAACGCUGGCGGCGUGCUUAACACAUGCAAGUCGAACGGGGAUAGUUCGAGUGGAAGGCUUCGGCCGGAAGGUUGGAUAUUCGAGUGGCGGACGGGUGAGUAACGCGUGAACAAUCUGUCCCAGACAGGGGGAUAACACUUGGAAACAGGUGCUAAUACCGCAUAAGACCACGGGGUCGCAUGGCCGAGGGGUAAAGGAGCAAUCCGGUUUGGGGUGAGUUCGCGUCCGAUUAGCCAGUUGGUGAGGUAACGGCCCACCAAAGCGACGAUCGGUAGCCGACCUGAGAGGGUGAUCGGCCACAUUGGAACUGAGAGACGGUCCAA